Molecule: ribosomal RNA, 455 nt
Filed under: uncultured bacterium
Lineage: Bacteria
Description: SSU rRNA
Rfam family: Bacterial small subunit ribosomal RNA
Source: RNAcentral
AGGAUAAACGCUGGCGGCGUGCCUAAUACAUGCAAGUCGAGCGGUAAGGCCCCUUCGGGGGUACACGAGCGGCGGACGGCUGAGUAACACGUAGGAACGUACCCCAAACUGAGGGAUAAGCACCAGAAAUGGUGUCUAAUACCGCAUGUGAUCUUCGGAUUAAAGCUUCGGCGGUUUGGGAACGGCCUGCGCAUGAUUAGCUUGUUGGUGAGGUAAAAGCUCACCAAGGCGACGAUCAUUAGCUGGUCUGGGAGGAUGAUCAGCCAGACUGGGACUGAGAACGGCCCAGACUCCUACGGGAGGCAGCAGUAGGGAAUUUUCCACAAUGGGCGAAAGCCUGAUGGAGCAACGCCGCGUGCAGGACGAAGGCUUUCGGGUCGUAAACUGCUUUUAUAUGUGACGAUUAUGACGGUAGCAUAUGAAUAAGGAUCGGCUAACUCCGUGCCAGCAGCCGC